GUCUUGCAACAUCAGCUGAUAUCCCCCACCCCUUCUCCCCUCGUGUUUCCCUCUGCUUCAUAAAUGGUUGGGAGGCUCCUAGGAAUCUUUUACUCUGCUUCAAGCAAUAAGACGUGUGUGGCUCCUCAACCCAGCUGCUACUGCUGCAGCACACCCAGCCUCUCAGCAGCUGAGGAAGCGCUGAUUUGCCUAAGGGCAUCACUUUAAGUUGGGUGUGUAGGCAGCAACCCAGACCCCUUGUGUGGGUGGCACUCCCAAAUAAGAACAAAUUACAGUUAUGCUUCCUGGUAGCAGAGGAGGAAAGGAAAUAGCUACCGAUGAAGAAAUAAAAUGACUAACAAACUACAGUAUCUUUUUUGUCACAGCUCAGGACCUUUUUGCUGAGAGAAGCUGCUCAGAAGAGAACCUCAUUUACUUAGAAGUAGGUUGGCCAAUAAUUUGUUGCAACAUGUUCUUAAGCACUUGAUCCCUGUCACUUUGCUCUUUUCUUUGGGGCCUAAUAGGAGAAACAGUAUAAAUCAUGGUACAAUAAUGCAGUUUAGCUGUGUAUGUCUCCCAGCUAUUGACAAACUAGAAGACAGAAAAAGCAGUUUAUAAGUGAAGGCAGGAUUUGUUUUCACAUUUUUGUAUCAGUAAGUAACUUACUGUGUAUUAUUGUGUUUUCAUCUGUGACAGCCACAGAAGUAAUAUAAUUUCUAAGUGAAAUUAGCUCUAAGUGAAACUAUAUCUGAGGUGACAGGUUAAAAUCGGAAUUUCCGCCUUCUCCAAAAAAACAUGAAAAUGCCCUGAUUAAAAUACACAUGAGAAAAUUCUUAAUACAGAUACAU
Molecule: long non-coding RNA, 827 nt
Organism: Alligator mississippiensis (American alligator)
Lineage: Eukaryota; Metazoa; Chordata; Crocodylia; Alligatoridae
Exons: 3
Source: RefSeq, a predicted model, not a curated record